CAUGUCCCUCAGCUCCCAUCCCCUCCUUCUUCCCUGCCCUGAGAGCCAUCCGGGUUUCCUUUCCAGUCUCCCUCUGCUCCUGUGCUUUCUUCCCCUUCCCUCACUUCCCCUGCUCUGUCUUCUCCUCAGUUCCCCGCCCUCCCUCUCUGCACCUGCCCAGUUUCCCCCAUCUCCCCUCCAUGCUCCCUUCCUCCCCAGCUCCUGAGUUGGACCACCUCAGCUCAGCGCCCUACUUCCUGUGCCUGCCCCUGCCUGCUGCCCACCAUCCCUGCACACAGCUCACUCCUCCCUCUGGCCCUCCUGCUGAGCAGGCGGCUCCCCCACUGCCCUGGGCCUGCCCACCUUCCCCAGCCCCCGCAGUCAAGGCUCUCCAACUCCACACCACCGGGGUGAGGGCAGAGAGGCACCCUCUCCAGGGCUGCGCUUCCUCCAGCAGGGCCUGUGUCCUCACCUCCAACGUGAAGAUCAGGCUGGGCCAUUAUUGCAGAGCUGUGCUGAGUGUUGAAGAAGGAGCCAGCUGAGGAGGUGUGUCAUGCAACUUGCCCCCCCAGCCCUCCCCUUCUAAGGAACCCCCACACCUGCUCUGUCUUCCUGCUACAGUCUCUGAGAAAAGCCCUUUCAUCUGUCAAGAACUACAAAAGUCAUUCUUUAAGUGCUAAAUAAACAAUGAAACAGACACAAAGUUAAAGUUACCUGAUCCAAAAAGGAGUGAAGCCUAGACCCCAGCCCACUGACUCAGUCUCUAAGACCCCUCACUCAAAUCUUCAAUCAACAGUGGAGAUGGCUGUGAGCUCUUCUGAUUCCAGAUGACAAUACUCCUCCCUUUAAUUCCUUGAUAUGUUUAAUUAUGUAAGUAAAUUUAAUAUAAAAAUCAUUGCAUUAGAGUUCAUUGUUUUUAUACAAGAUUCAGUGUGAGAUCAAUGUUAUACUUCCAAUUUGUCACACUUACAGAGAACUGAGAAGAAUCACAUUAUUUAAAAUCUUAGCAAAUGUGCAUAAUUCCUUUGGAUAAUUUUAAAGUGAUAGGAUUGGAUCACAUAUGAUGCAAUUGCCUGGGUCUGUUUUGUUUUUAGUUGUAUUUGUCUCUCAUAUUGUGAAUCUCAUAUUUAUGUGACUAAUUAUCAGAAGAUUUUAUCUUUAUUAUGCAUAUUUAGUAUAAAAUGAUCAUACAGUGAAGAGUGUGUAAAAUCAAAAUAAAAUGCCAUUCAUCACCUCUGGCUCUCAUUCCAAGA
RNAcentral lists this long non-coding RNA (1232 nucleotides) under Homo sapiens (human). RNAcentral's name for it is "HSALNT0238630". The record is from RNAcentral. Lineage: Eukaryota; Metazoa; Chordata; Mammalia; Primates; Hominidae.